GUGAGGAAUAUUGGUCAAUGGGCGGGAGCCUGAACCAGCCAAAUCGCGUGAAGGAUGAAGGUAUUAUGUAUUGUAAACUUCUUUUAUCGGGGAAUAAAGUGCAUCACGUGUGGUGUUUUGUAAGUACCCGAAGAAUAAGGAUCGGCUAACUCCGUGCCAGCAGCCGCGGUAAUACGGAGGAUCCGAGCGUUAUCCGGAUUUAUUGGGUUUUAAGGGUGCGUAGGCGGACUAUCAAGUCAGCGGUGAAAGUUCAUGGCUCAACCAUGGAAUUGCCGUUGAAACUGAUGGUCUUGAGUGUAGAUGAGGUAGGCGGAAUUCGUGGUGUAGCGGUGAAAUGCAUAGAUAUCACGAAGAACACCGAUUGCGUAGGCAGCUUACCAAGCUACAACUGACGCUGAGGCACGAAGGUGCGGGGAUCAAACAGGAUUAGAUACCCGGGUAGUCC
Molecule: ribosomal RNA, 445 nt
Filed under: uncultured bacterium
Lineage: Bacteria
Description: partial 16S ribosomal RNA
Rfam family: Bacterial small subunit ribosomal RNA
Source: RNAcentral